Lycium ferocissimum is the source of this 1378-nucleotide long non-coding RNA. RefSeq lists it as uncharacterized. The record is from RefSeq and is a predicted model, not a curated record. Lineage: Eukaryota; Viridiplantae; Streptophyta; Magnoliopsida; Solanales; Solanaceae. The transcript is spliced from 3 exons.
CUCAAACCCUCUCCAAUUAAUCCUCCAUCAAUCUCGAUCCAAACCAAGAGCAAAUCUAUCAACUUUAACAUGAAGAACAACAUGACAACUACGGAAUUGUGAUUUUUUCGCUAAUUUUCUUCUUGGAUAAGGACUUCACCUUGAAGUAACUUGGAGUUUGGAGUGAUUUUGAUCAUCUAAGGAAAUCAUUCGUAAGACGUUCGAGGACUCGGGGAAAUGUAUAUAACUCCAUCGACGAGGUACGGUAGACGGAUUGUUGUACCUUUUCCAGUAGGAUACCAAAGUUCAACAAGGAUGUUCGCACUUCAUUCUCCGGAGUUGUUGGUCAGAGUCAUUAAACAGGAUACAUGCAUAUAUAUAUAGAGAGUAUGGCUAUGGGUACGUCGGGGCCACUGUCCCGACCAGUUGAUGCAUAUUAGUGCUCUUAGAGGCUUAUAGACUAUCAGUCAGUGUACAGGUAUUGCGUUUGGCCUUGCCGGCCUUCUGACUAGUUGUCUUUCUUGGUUGUGACCUUGUUGGCCCUUGUAAUGCAUAUAUGUGUUGCUGGGCCUUUUCUAUUUGCAGGUUGUUAUGAUAUACUUCUUACUGUUGUUAUUCAGCGGCCUCGUCGGCCUAUGAUUCACGUUACAUAGUUUAGAUAUCACAGUUGGUUCGCUCGGCUUUUCGGGUGCCGGGUGCCAGCCACACCCCUAACGUUGGGGUGUGACAGCUUGCUUAGCCUGGGCUACUGUUUUGUCGUCCAUUUCACCUUGACAAGCCUGGAAGAUUUGUGUGUGUGUGUGUGUUUUUUUUUUUUUUUUUUUUUUUUGGAACUGAAAGCAUUGGAACUUUUGUUUAUAAUUUCUCUUGCUUACCCAAUUUCAGGCAAAUUGUAUACAAAUGGGAAGAGAGGAAAUGCAUCUUAUAUACCUGUUCCAUCACCUAUAAUAAAGUAACUACAUGAAUUAACAUUAACGUCAUUUAUGCGGUCAAUGCAAAAUGAAAAUUAGGACCCCAAUUAUCUCACUAGCGAUUCCUCAUCGGCCAGGCUCCAUAAGGAAUAAUUAGUGAGACAAAUAAGGUUUGAAUCUUUAUUUUGCAUUGGCUAUAGAAACGACGUUAAUGAUCCCAUAUGGUCACUUCAUUAUAGGUGAACAAUUAGUGACGAAUUUUGUGUGGUAACUAAUAAAUUUUUAGCCAAAUGUUGUAGUGACCCCUUGAGAUAAAUCAAGAUUCUUAUCAUGCAUGAAUCUUGUUCAACUAUCCAUGCCGGACCUCGUAUGCAACACUUGUAAAAAGAUGCAUGGUGAUCAAUCAGUUCAUGGAUUUUUUGUAAAAAUAAAUAAAUACGGGGAGACAUUUUCUCCUUUUCGUCGUUCUAUCUAAACUAGGCCCUUUU